RNAcentral lists this ribosomal RNA (301 nucleotides) under uncultured bacterium. RNAcentral's name for it is "partial 16S ribosomal RNA". It matches the Rfam family "Bacterial small subunit ribosomal RNA", at positions 509 to 807 of the family's 1533-position model. The record is from RNAcentral.
CAGCCGCCGCGGUAAUACGAAGGGUGCAAGCGUUAAUCGGAAUUACUGGGCGUAAAGCGUGCGUAGGCGGUGAGUUAAGUCUGCUGUGAAAUCCCCGGGCUCAACCUGGGAAUGGCAGUGGAUACUGGCUCGCUAGAGUGUGUCAGAGGAUGGUGGAAUUCCCGGUGUAGCGGUGCAAUGCGUAGAGAUCGGGAGGAACAUCAGUGGCGAAGGCGGCCAUCUGGGACAACACUGACGCUGAGGCACGAAAGCGUGGGGAGCAAACAGGAUUAGAUACCCCUGUAGUCCCUGUCUCUUAUAC